CAAAGGGCGUUGCCGAAUUCCGGGAGCGUUUCCCGAAAGCGGGGGAACCACUCCCCACGGGGCGCAUCGCCAAUAAUGGCGUAGGACACUCUUCGGUCCGAGCCCGUCAGCUAACCUCGCAGGCGUCGAAGGGGAAGACCU
Molecule: small RNA, 141 nt
Filed under: Desulfovibrionales bacterium
Lineage: Bacteria; Pseudomonadati; Thermodesulfobacteriota; Desulfovibrionia; Desulfovibrionales
Description: c-di-AMP sequence
Rfam family: c-di-AMP riboswitch aptamer (ydaO/yuaA leader)
About the family: This family represents a conserved RNA structure found upstream of the ydaO and yuaA genes in Bacillus subtilis and related genes in other bacteria. The ydaO/yuaA element is thought to act as a genetic "off" switch for the ydaO and yuaA genes in its native state.
Source: RNAcentral